RNAcentral lists this transfer RNA (85 nucleotides) under Felis catus (domestic cat). It matches the Rfam family "tRNA". Rfam says of the family: Transfer RNA (tRNA) molecules are approximately 80 nucleotides in length. Their secondary structure includes four short double-helical elements and three loops (D, anti-codon, and T loops). Further hydrogen bonds mediate the characteristic L-shaped molecular structure. tRNAs have two regions of fundamental functional importance: the anti-codon, which is responsible for specific mRNA codon recognition, and the 3' end, to which the tRNAs corresponding amino acid is attached (by aminoacyl-tRNA synthetases). tRNAs cope with the degeneracy of the genetic code in two manners: having more than one tRNA (with a specific anti-codon) for a particular amino acid; and 'wobble' base-pairing, i.e. permitting non-standard base-pairing at the 3rd anti-codon position. The record is from Rfam by way of RNAcentral. Lineage: Eukaryota; Metazoa; Chordata; Mammalia; Carnivora; Felidae.
ACCUGGGUAGCUCAGUUGGUUAAGCAUCCGACUUCAACUCGGGUCAUGAUCUCCCCAUUUGUGAGCUCGAGCCCCACUUCAGGCU